GGUUGCGAUCAUACCAGCACUAAUGCACUGGAUCCCAUCAGAACUUCGCAGUGAAGAGUGCUUGGGCGAGAGUAGUACUAGGAUGGGUGACCCCCUGGGAAGUCCUCAUGUUGCAACCC
RNAcentral lists this ribosomal RNA (119 nucleotides) under Helianthus annuus (common sunflower). The record is from RNAcentral. Lineage: Eukaryota; Viridiplantae; Streptophyta; Magnoliopsida; Asterales; Asteraceae.